UACGUGCUGCCUCACUUCGUUUGCAUUUCAUUUGCUUAUUCCAGAUAAAAGCAGCUUGUUGUGCUGCGUUAGCCCUGGGAGUGUGGAGGACCCACCUGCCAGACCCCGCUGGGCUGGGGAAGGGGUAAGGCUUGCACCCCUCAGCGCACAGAGGAGAAGCAGCCCCGGGGAGGCUCAUCCAUCGUGGGGACGUGCCCCACAGAUGCUGGCACCUGGGGAAGGUUGCAGAGCUGGCUGCCCUCCAGCCGUGAGGAGGUCUGGCCUCCUGCUUGCUCCCCACAGGGCUCCCGGCGGCACAUCCAGCCUGUCUGCUUGCCUGGUCUGACGCCAGCUGAGCAAGGCAGCCUUCAGCCUCCCUCAAGGUCUGCCUCCAUGCCCCAAACCAGCACUCACACCUGUGCAACAGGAGAACAAAAAGCACCCGGGUGUUACCCGAGCUGUGCCAGCACCCUGGACUGACUGAAUGAACCAUCCCUUCCCUACACCCUCAUCAUCCUGAUGCUCUGGGGCCCCUGCUGCUCAUGCAUUGUUCACCACGCAGCAGGAGCACAGGACCUCGAGGCACGCAGCUGUGCUACCAGCUCUUGGCUGAGCCUUAGUGCGCUCGCCCUACCCCACACCAGGUCCCCGGGGCCAUGUAGCCAGUCGCCAGGAGAAGUGUUGGUGGCUGUCCCCUGAAACAGGCUGAGCCUUGCUGGUGGUGGCUUGCCAUCUCCCACCUUGUUUGCUUUCCAGGGUUUUAUACCUCUUCCCUUAGCAUUUACAUCUUGGAGCCUUGUGUUGCUAGCUGUUAUGAUCUUGGCAACUUUAGCUCUCUGUGUUUUUACUUUCCUUAUUGCGCCUGCCUUUAGUCGGUGUGUUUUCUCACAGUGCAGCUGCAGUUUUCUCAGCAAAACCAAGCCAGGGUCACACAGCCAGGGCAGAGGCAGCUGGAACCAGGGCCAUCGGUACCCCUGUGUGCCCAGGAGAAGGACAGAUGGACUUGGGGCAAGCUAUCACCAGUGCAUGCUCUGCUGGGACAACAGCAGGUCCUGGGCCCCCAGCCCACCUCCUGGAGCAGAUAUCACCCAGGAUCCUGCCAGGCCGGGAGAGAUGCCACAGCUCUCCAGAUCUGCGAGCGUGCCAGUAAAAGGCAGCACAUCCAGCCCCAGAUGCCAGACACAAGGAGCUUGGCUGGCCACAAGCAAACACAAAUGAUUAAGAAGCUGUUUUACCUUGGCAUCUGUUUCAACUUGUUGCAUGCUCUUCUGUCAUGCAGUUAGCUUUUUAUUUUUUCUUGUUUAUUUUUUUUACCCUGCAAAAAUUCACUGGUGAGGAACUUGUGAUUUAUUUUAGCUGAGGCAGGCGCCAGCAUCACCUUGCUGCAGCAGCUGGGGAUGGAAGAAAAGAACUGGCAUCGUGCAACAGGAGAUGAAAGCCGCAAGGCUGCUCCAGCGGGGCAGCCGAGCU
Molecule: long non-coding RNA, 1449 nt
Organism: Anas platyrhynchos (mallard)
Lineage: Eukaryota; Metazoa; Chordata; Aves; Anseriformes; Anatidae
Source: RefSeq, a predicted model, not a curated record